This 504-nucleotide ribosomal RNA is filed under the name uncultured bacterium. Its description in RNAcentral is "partial 16S ribosomal RNA". It matches the Rfam family "Bacterial small subunit ribosomal RNA", at positions 30 to 523 of the family's 1533-position model. The record is from RNAcentral.
AUUGAACGCUGGCGGCAGGCCUAACACAUGCAAGUCGAACGGUAGCACAGAGAGCUUGCUCUCGGGUGACGAGUGGCGGACGGGUGAGUAAUGUCUGGGAAACUGCCUGAUGGAGGGGGAUAACUACUGGAAACGGUAGCUAAUACCGCAUAACGUCGCAAGACCAAAGAGGGGGACCUUCGGGCCUCUUGCCAUCAGAUGUGCCCAGAUGGGAUUAGCUAGUAGGUGGGGUAAUGGCUCACCUAGGCGACAAUCCCGAGCUGGUCUGAGAGGAUGAGCAGCCACACUGGAACUGCGACACGGUCCAGACUCCUACGGGAGGCAGCAGUGGGGAAUAUUGCACAAUGGGCGCAAGCCUGAUGCAGCCAUGCCGCGUGUGUGAAGAAGGCCUUCGGGUUGUAAAGCACUUUCAGCGGGGAGGAAGGCGGUGAGUUUAAUAAGCUCACCGAUUGACGUUACCCGCAGAAGAAGCACCGGCUAACUCCGUGCCAGCCGCCGCCGUAA